GUGGGGAAUAUUGGACAAUGGGGGGAACCCUGAUCCAGCCAUGCCGCGUGUGUGAAGAAGGCCUUUUGGUUGUAAAGCACUUUAAGCGAGGAGGAGGCUACCGAGAUUAAUACUCUUGGAUAGUGGACGUUACUCGCAGAAUAAGCACCGGCUAACUCUGUGCCAGCAGCCGCGGUAAUACAGAGGGUGCAAGCGUUAAUCGGAUUUACUGGGCGUAAAGCGCGCGUAGGUGGCCAAUUAAGUCAAAUGUGAAAUCCCCGAGCUUAACUUGGGAAUUGCAUUCGAUACUGGUUGGCUAGAGUAUGGGAGAGGAUGGUAGAAUUCCAGGUGUAGCGGUGAAAUGCGUAGAGAUCUGGAGGAAUACCGAUGGCGAAGGCAGCCAUCUGGACCAGCACUGACACUGAGGCACGAAAGCGUGGGGAGCAAACAGGAUUAGAUACCCUGGUAGUCC
Molecule: ribosomal RNA, 451 nt
Filed under: uncultured bacterium
Lineage: Bacteria
Description: partial 16S ribosomal RNA
Rfam family: Bacterial small subunit ribosomal RNA
Source: RNAcentral